GAUGAACGCUGGCGGCGUGCCUAAUACAUGCAAGUCGAGCGAACAGACGAGGAGCUUGCUCCUCUGACGUUAGCGGCGGACGGGUGAGUAACACGUGGAUAACCUACCUAUAAGACUGGGAUAACUUCGGGAAACCGGAGCUAAUACCGGAUAAUAUAUUGAACCGCAUGGUUCAAUAGUGAAAGACGGUUUUGCUGUCACUUAUAGAUGGAUCCGCGCCGCAUUAGCUAGUUGGUAAGGUAACGGCUUACCAAGGCGACGAUGCGUAGCCGACCUGAGAGGGUGAUCGGCCACACUGGAACUGAGACACGGUCCAGACUCCUACGGGAGGCAGCAGUAGGGAAUCUUCCGCAAUGGGCGAAAGCGUGACGGAGCAACGCCGCGUGAGUGAUGAAGGUCUUCGGAUCGUAAAACUCUGUUAUUAGGGAAGAACAAAUGUGUAAGUAACUAUGCACGUCUUGACGGUACCUAAUCAGAAAGCCACGGCUAACUACGUG
Molecule: ribosomal RNA, 497 nt
Filed under: uncultured bacterium
Lineage: Bacteria
Description: partial 16S ribosomal RNA
Rfam family: Bacterial small subunit ribosomal RNA
Source: RNAcentral